RNAcentral lists this ribosomal RNA (410 nucleotides) under Verrucomicrobiota bacterium. RNAcentral's name for it is "Verrucomicrobia bacterium partial 16S ribosomal RNA". It matches the Rfam family "Bacterial small subunit ribosomal RNA", at positions 355 to 776 of the family's 1533-position model. Lineage: Bacteria; Pseudomonadati; Verrucomicrobiota. The record is from RNAcentral.
UGGGGAAUCUUGCACAAUGGGCGAAAGCCUGAUGCAGCGACGCCGCGUGCGGGAUGAAGGCCUUCGGGUUGUAAACCGCUUUCAGCAGGGACGAGGCCGCAAGGUGACGGUACCUGCAGAAUAAGCCCCGGCUAACUACGUGCCAGCAGCCGCGGUAAUACGUAGGGGGCAAGCGUUAUCCGGAUUCAUUGGGCGUAAAGCGCGCGUAGGCGGUUUGUUAGGUCAGGAGUUAAAUCUGGGGGCUCAACCCCUAUCCGCUCCUGAUACCGGCAGGCUUGAGUCUGGUAGGGGAAGGCGGAAUUCCAAGUGUAGCGGUGAAAUGCGCAGAUAUUUGGAAGAACACCGGUGGCGAAGGCGGCCUUCUGGGCCACGACUGACGCUGAGGCGCGAAAGCUAGGGGAGCGAACAGG